This 292-nucleotide ribosomal RNA is filed under the name uncultured bacterium. RNAcentral describes it as "partial 16S ribosomal RNA". It matches the Rfam family "Bacterial small subunit ribosomal RNA", at positions 505 to 796 of the family's 1533-position model. The record is from RNAcentral.
GUGUCAGCCGCCGCGGUAAUACGUAGGGGGCAAGCGUUGUCCGGAUUUAUUGGGCGUAAAGAGCGUGUAGGCGGCCAGAUAGGUCUGUUGUGAAAACUCGAGGCUCAACCUCGAGACGCCGAUGGAAACCAUUUGGCUAGAGUCCGGAAGAGGAGAGUGGAAUUCCUGGUGUAGCGGUGAAAUGCGCAGAUAUCAGGAAGAACACCCGUGGCUAAGGCGGCUCUCUAGUACGGUACUGACGCUGAGACGCGAAAGCGUGGGGAGCGAACAGGAUUAGAUACCCCGGUAGUCC